This 554-nucleotide long non-coding RNA is filed under the name Arabidopsis lyrata. Its description in RNAcentral is "long non-coding RNA (ALYR_LNC001267)". Lineage: Eukaryota; Viridiplantae; Streptophyta; Magnoliopsida; Brassicales; Brassicaceae. The record is from RNAcentral.
AUACGGAAACUUAUCACGCACCGUUAUGGAUUGUUAGGUAAAAGUGGUCCACAUCAAUAAUUCGUUUUAAGUAUGUUGCGACCUUAAUUAAUCUCAACCUCUACUUAAUAAAUAGGUCAACUCGAGACUUUUUCUUACAUAAAUGAGACGGCUUCUAUAAAUAGUAUGAAAGUUCAUUACAGAAAUGUCAAAUUCAAUUUUUUUUUUUUUUUUGCCGUCUAGAUUUAUUAUUAGUUGCAAAUUAUGAGAACUGUUACAUAGACGAUUCUACAACUGACAAUUUCUGCCGACCCUUAGUAGAUCCACGACAGACUACACUUCCUUCUUCAUGAUCUUGAUGAAUACCUUCAAUGAUCCACGACCUAGCGACACUUCCUUCUCUGCGUAGAAUCCUGGCGCACGGCUAUAAUUGUACAUCGCUGGAGACCUCCUGCACACUUGCCUCAAUUAAUCUGCAAAUUUGUUAAUAAAUCGCAAUAUCUGGGACUCGAACCCCAGACUUUUUAGUGUAGAAGCAUUAAUCAACCCUUGGUCAACCAAUGGGCCAAGGGGGC